AGUGGGUAGUGACACAACGCGGUGCGUUCCUGCAGGCAGGCUCAGGCCCCUGUGUACUCGGCUUGACCCAGGCAAGCUCCUGCACUUGCGGCUGAAGAGCAAGGGCUCAGGAAUUCCAAACACAAAGACCCCUUCCUAAUCCCUCGACACAUAAGGCUGCCAAUUUAGUAUCAAGAGAAGACAGGAAGAACUUUUAAGGAAGAAGUAACACUGGAGUCAACAACAACAACAGCAAAACAACCUCUGGCAAUUUCUUAUCCUGUGUCUGACUGACCUCUUUUACAUCCAAGGAAAGUAUUGUCAAAUCACCAAUCCCCCAGAGCUACACUGUCUUGGAGAUGCUAAAUUGCAAAGAGAAAACAUCUCAGCAUUAAGGAAGAAGAGAGCUCCGGCUGUGGAAUGAUUAGAGGGUGCAGCAUCAUUUGGCAAAAUGCUGCAAUAUCUCCUUAGGCUUAUAUGCUAUUGUCCUGAUUCUUAAGAUUUUCCAUCUCAGGUAUUCAGACCUCUAAACUCUGUCUCCUUAUCCCCAACCCUAUUUACAAGUUGACAUGUACCAAAAAGAGUAAAUGAAUGACAACAGUUUACAUUGCUACUCAUUCUCAAAGACAUUUUCAUUUUGACAUGAAAUAGAGAUGUAAUUUAAACUACAGUAGAAUUUAAGUGUAGAAUCAGGAAGGGGUGGGGGGAAAUUAGAGGUGCAGAUGAUUAUAUAGUCCAGUAACCUAGGAUUAAUUGCCUCUGCAUGUCUGUCUUUGGGAGAGACAUAAUCUCUCUAAACCUUAGUUUUCUCACUUGUAUUAUAGGAUCAUAAUUGUUCCUAUCUCAUAAAAGGCUUCCAAAGAAAAACUAGAGCUGCAUAGUAAUUAAAGUGGUAAAAGCAGAUUUUAAUUAGGAACUAUUACAGUAGGGGAAAAUGUGUCUAGUUUAGUAUAGCAGUAGGUUCAAUUCUGAAUACAGCAAGCACAGGUGAAGAUUUAUAGACAAAGAGCAGGGUGGGAGUCAACAGAUAAACAAUCACUAAGAGGAAACAUCAGGGGGUAAGCCAAAAAUAAAAUUCUAAGCCCCUCAACCAAUUGAAUGGAACCCUCUCUUGACCAAAGGUGUUCCAAAGUAAACCUGAGAAAUGAGUUCAGGCUGUGAUAGGAAGGGAGGAUCAGACAUACCUCAUUUUUACACCCUCCUCCCUUUGUAAUCCAGACACAACUUAUCAGCAUUAACAUUAAAACAGAGCUCUGUGUAACAAUAAGAUACCAAAUUCUAAUCUGAAUCUAGUAUAGCAUCACAUGACAGGUAGCAAGCCCUGAAAGAAAUAGAAACAUUUUACUCCAUUUUUUUUUUUGAGAUGGAGUCUUGCUCUGUCACCCAGGCUGGAGUGCAGUGCUGUGACCUCAGCUCACUCCAACCUCCACCUCCUGGGUUCAAGUAGUUCUCCCUGCCUCAGCCUCCCAAGUAGCUGGGAUUACAGGCACCUGCCACUAUGCCCAGUUAAUUUUUGUAUUUUUAGUAGAGACAGGGUUUCACCAUGUUAACCAGGCUGGUCUCAAGCUUCCGACUUUAGGUAAUCCAUCCACGUUGGCCUCCCAAAGUGCUGGGGUUACAGGCACGAGCUACUGUGCCCGGGCCCCACAUAUAUUUAUUUGACAUAUUUUGAAAUGGCCCUGCAAAGCUAUCUCUUGUGGGGAAAACCUACAUUCUGUAGAGAAUCCCCUUCCCUUUCCAUGUCUUUUCCUGAUCCAGGAGAGAGUUAACUGAGUGUAGCACCUUUAAGGGUCUAGCAAGAGAUAUGUACCAUCUAUUCCCUGAAGUCUGCUAAUCUGGAGGCUACAUCUACAUGACAAGAACCUUGGCUGAUAAUCCCCCUGUAUCAGCCACAAACUUUUCUUUCUGCUGGCCUCAAUUCUUCAGGCAGAACUUUUUAAACCAAUUGCCACCAGAGAAACCUUUAAAUCCACCUAUGAUGUGGAAGCCCCUGCUUUGAGAUGUCUCACCUUUCCAGGCUGGAUCAAUAUAUACCUUACAUUAUUGGUUUACAACUCUGCUUGUAGUUUCUGUCCCCCUGAAGUGUAUAAAAUCAAGGUGUAACCCAACCACCAUGGGCACAUGUUCUUGGGACCUGUUGAGACUAUGCCUUGAGCCUUGGUCACUUGUAUUUGGCUCAGAAUAAAUCCCUUAAAAUAUUUCA
Molecule: long non-coding RNA, 2182 nt
Organism: Macaca mulatta (Rhesus monkey)
Lineage: Eukaryota; Metazoa; Chordata; Mammalia; Primates; Cercopithecidae
Source: RefSeq, a predicted model, not a curated record